CGUACCUUUUGUAUAAUGGGUCAGCGACUUAUAUUCUGUAGCAAGGUUAACCGAAUAGGGGAGCCGAAGGGAAACCGAGUCUUAACUGGGCGUUAAGUUGCAGGGUAUAGACCCGAAACCCGGUGAUCUAGCCAUGGGCAGGUUGAAGGUUGGGUAACACUAACUGGAGGACCGAACCGACUAAUGUUGAAAAAUUAGCGGAUGACUUGUGGCUGGGGGUGAAAGGCCAAUCAAACCGGGAGAUAGCUGGUUCUCCCCGAAAGCUAUUUAGGUAGCGCCUCGUGAAUUCAUCUCCGGGGGUAGAGCACUGUUUCGGCAAGGGGGUCAUCCCGACUUACCAACCCGAUGCAAACUGCGAAUACCGGAGAAUGUUAUCACGGGAGACACACGGCGGGUGCUAACGUCCGUCGUGAAGAGGGAAACAACCCAGACCGCCAGCUAAGGUCCCAAAGUCAUGGUUAAGUGGGAAACGAUGUGGGAAGGCCCAGACAGCCAGGAUGUUGGCUUAGAAGCAGCCAUCAUUUAAAGAAAGCGUAAUAGCUCACUGGUCGAGUCGGCCUGCGCG
RNAcentral lists this ribosomal RNA (565 nucleotides) under Escherichia coli. RNAcentral describes it as "partial 23S ribosomal RNA". It matches the Rfam family "Bacterial large subunit ribosomal RNA", at positions 600 to 1165 of the family's 2925-position model. The record is from RNAcentral. Lineage: Bacteria; Pseudomonadati; Pseudomonadota; Gammaproteobacteria; Enterobacterales; Enterobacteriaceae.